RNAcentral lists this ribosomal RNA (236 nucleotides) under uncultured bacterium. RNAcentral describes it as "partial 16S ribosomal RNA". It matches the Rfam family "Bacterial small subunit ribosomal RNA", at positions 100 to 334 of the family's 1533-position model. The record is from RNAcentral.
CGGGACGGGUGAGUAACGCGUGGAUAACCUGCCUCACACUGGGGGUAACGAGUUAGAAAUGACUGCUAAUACCGCAUAAGCGCACAGUACCGCAUGGUACAGUGUGAAAAACUCCGGUGGUGUGAGAUGGAUCCGCGCCUGAUUAGCCAGUUGGCGGGGUAACGGCCCACCAAAGCGACGAUCAGUAGCCGACCUGAGAGGGUGACCGGCCACAUUGGGACUGAGACACGGCCCAA